AUUGAACGCUGGCGGCAUGCUUUACACGUGCAAGUCGAACGGUAACAGGGUGCUUGCACCGCUGACGAGUGGCGAACGGGUGAGUAAUGCGUCGGAACGUGCCGAGUAGUGGGGGAUAACGCAGCGAAAGUUGUGCUAAUACCGCAUACGUACUGAGGUAGAAAGUGGGGGACCUUCGGGCCUCACGCUAUUCGAGCGGCCGACGUCUGAUUAGCUAGUAGGUGAGGUAAAGGCGCACCUAGGCGACGAUCAGUAGCGGGUCUGAGAGGAUGAUCCGCCACACUGGGACUGAGACACGGCCCAGACUCCUACGGGAGGCAGCAGUGGGGAAUUUUGGACAAUGGGCGAAAGCCUGAUCCAGCCAUGCCGCGUGUCUGAAGGAGGCCUUCGGGUUGUAAAGGACUUUUGUCAGGGAGGAAAUCCCUAGUGCUAAUAACACUGGGGGAUGACAGUACCUGAAGAAUAAGCACCGGCUAACUACGUGCCAGCAGCCGCCGUAA
This 500-nucleotide ribosomal RNA is filed under the name uncultured bacterium. Its description in RNAcentral is "partial 16S ribosomal RNA". It matches the Rfam family "Bacterial small subunit ribosomal RNA", at positions 30 to 523 of the family's 1533-position model. The record is from RNAcentral.